CAAAAAGGAACUUCUUUGUGCUUCCCUUUUAUACUUUCACUACCCCCUGCAACCUGAGAGAGAAUGGGAGAAUUUAAAGUAGAAGAGUGGAAGGAUCUGAGACAAGUCAACUGGAUCAAGAACGUAGCUUAUCCAACUUUGGGUGCCCUAGAAGCCUUAGAAAAAGACCUGUGGUGGAAAAAUCUAGUACUGGCCAGCCUAUGGGACUGUAAUGAGAAGAGAGGGGACCCGGAAUUAGCUGUCCAGACCUGCCAGAUGAGUAAGUGCAACCUUAUGUUAUGUGGGGCCACAAAUGCUGGGAGGAGGGUAGCACCCAUUCCAUCAGCUGUAAGAUUAUUUAACAUGGUGUUUAAAUGUCUUCCCUGAGUCUCUAAAGUAGGAACUUCCAACAAUGUCAGGAUCACUCCCUGAGCGCUGCUCAGACACUAUGUUUAUAAUGGACGUCUUUAAUUAGUCAGUGGCAUCUUUUUCUAGUCCACCGUGAGUGCCAUUAUUACAGACACUGAAUUUAUUAGAAGGUCACAUUUCCAAAAAGCCUGAUAUUGCCAUUUUCACAUCAGAGUUCUGAUCUGUCUUUUUAUCCUUUUGGAAAUCACUUGUAAUACCAGACAGAAGCAAGCUGGACUGGAUGGGACUGUGAAAAACAAACUUCAGGAAUCCAGAGACUGUGGAGUGCUGUUUUUUUUUGGUUUUGUUUUUUUUUUUUUUUCAGGUAGGGGAACAAGGAUUUGAAUGUAAUUUAAAGCCAGCUCUAUUUAGGAAAGCGGAGCAAGAUGAGGCCUGUACACCAAGUUAGUGGCAGAGAAUGAUAGUCUGCCAGUCUGUCCCCUCUAUAAGUGGGUGGGCAUUUACUUUGCAGGGGUCCUGGAGGUGUAGGCUCCAUAUUAUUCAAAUAAUAUGCUGGUCAAUACUUCAUUAAAUAUUUACCCUUCCACAGUUCGUCUUUUUUUUUUUUUUUUUGCUUUGCAGAUGUUGCUGAGACAAUACAUCGUGUUUCAUUAAAAAUAAAUUUUAGUAUCUGAGUAUGACUCUUUCUUAC
RNAcentral lists this long non-coding RNA (1039 nucleotides) under Bos indicus x Bos taurus (hybrid cattle). RNAcentral describes it as "lncRNA (ENSBIXG00005020659.1)". The record is from RNAcentral. Lineage: Eukaryota; Metazoa; Chordata; Mammalia; Artiodactyla; Bovidae.